GAUGAACGCUGGCGGCGUGCCUAAUACAUGCAAGUCGAGCGAACGGACGAGAAGCUUGCUUCUCUGAUGUUAGCGGCGGACGGGUGAGUAACACGUGGAUAACCUACCUAUAAGACUGGGAUAACUUCGGGAAACCGUAGCUAAUACCGGAUAAUAUUUUGAACCGCAUGGUUCAAAAGUGAAAGACGGUCUUGCUGUCACUUAUAGAUGGAUCCGCGCUGCAUUAUCUAGUUGGUAAGGUAACGGCUUACCAAGGCAACGAUGCAUAGCCGACCUGAGAGGGUGAUCGGCCACACUGGAACUGAGACACGGUCCAGACUCCUGCGGGAGGCAGCAGUAGGGAAUCUUCCGCAAUGGGCGAAAGCCUGACGGAGCAACGCCGCGUGAGUGAUGAAGGUCUUCGGAUCGUAAAACUCUGUUAUUAGGGAAGAACAUAUGUGUAAGUAACUGUGCACAUCUUGACGGUACCUAAUCAGAAAGCCACGGCUAACUACGUG
This 497-nucleotide ribosomal RNA is filed under the name uncultured bacterium. Its description in RNAcentral is "partial 16S ribosomal RNA". It matches the Rfam family "Bacterial small subunit ribosomal RNA", at positions 28 to 507 of the family's 1533-position model. The record is from RNAcentral.